This 7004-nucleotide long non-coding RNA is filed under the name Triticum aestivum (bread wheat). Its description in RNAcentral is "long non-coding RNA (TAES_LNC027016)". Lineage: Eukaryota; Viridiplantae; Streptophyta; Magnoliopsida; Poales; Poaceae. The record is from RNAcentral.
UUUUUUUUUGUUUUUUCAGUGCGUUUAAGUUAAUAGUUAUUAUGUUUUUGCACUGUUUAAAACAAAAAAAUGCAUAAAAAAUAUAAUGAACACAUUAUUAUUCUGGGUCAAAUUGAACCAACGAGAUAUUUUAUUCAGGAUUUAUUAUGUGUUUUGCAUGAUGAACUUAUUUAAGCAUCAAAUAAUGAUAUUGUUUUUUUAUGUUGAUGCUUAAAUUAAUAAUGACAUGACCCUAAUUUUAUUUCGGACCAACGUUGUUUUAUUAUUAUGAGUCAUCACUUAUGAUAUUUUAAUUCCAUGUUUUUUCUGCCCAACGGUGUUUUGACAUGGAGUUGAAAUUAAAUACUUGACAUGUUUGUUUAUUUACCAACGUAAAUUUAUAAUCAUGCAAGUUUACUUAUGAACUUUUAUGAUGAUUUCAGCUUCCGCUCCAUUCCGGUCCGACAGGAUCGAACCACUUACGGGGAGUAACUUCCCUCGUUGGAAGUCCCAAGUCGAAUUAUGUUUGGGUUGUAAUGAAUUUGACUAUGCCUUGAGGGAAGAAAAACCUGUGGCACCUGUGGCAGGUGUCACAGGGUAUGCAGAACUCAAGAAGGAGUAUGAUGUUAAGAUGGAAAAGUGGAAUAAGUCCAACCAUAUUGCGCUUCUCAUCAUGAAAGCGACAAUAUCGCCGGACAUUUCUGAAGCACUCCCUAAGAAAGAUACUGCUAAAGAUUUCCUCACUGAAAUGGAGGAGCAAUUUAAAGGCUCCGACAAAGUGUAUGCUCAUGAGCUUUUUGCUAAACUUCUUCAGAAAUACACUAUUGACGGAAAUGUUAGGCAGCACAUAUUGAGGGUGGUAAAUGCUUUCACCAAGCUUAAGGCUUUGGAGUGUUCUUUAAGUGAAGCCCUUCUUGUCAUAAUUAUUCUUGAGUCUCUUUCUGAAGAGUUUGAACAAUUUAAGGUCAACUAUAACUCUCUAAAGGAAAAAUGGCCACUCUCUGAGAUGACCGCAAGGAUCGUCCAGGAGGAAGAAAGGAUCAUGAGGCAGAAGAAAGACCAUGUCUUUCAUGUUGGCUCUAAUAAGAGAAAGCAUGACGGACAAGGUUUCCCUAAGCCUCAGAAAAGGCAAGUCAAGAAAGAAGGCACUAAGCCAUUCAACCCUAAGGCAUUCAAGGGUAAAGAAGCCGGUGGUUCUUCUUCUGCUCCUAGCAGCUCCACUGCUGGAGAAAAUGCUUGUAACUUCUGCAAAGAGGAGGGACACUAUCAAAGGGACUGCCCAGGCUUUCUAAAAUGGAUGAACAAAAGAGGUAUUGAUGAAAUUACUUUUGUAGAUGAAUCUCUUUAUGUCGAUUUUUCUAUAAAGUCAUGGUGGAUUGAUUCAGGGGCAACCACUCACGUUGCCAACUCUAUGCAGGGAUUUGAUACGAUCCAAACUAUAAGAGGAGGAACAAGAAAGCUUAAGGUUGCGAACGGAGUUGAGGCCGAUGUUGAAGUUGUGGGAUCUCUCACGUUGGAGCUACACACUAGCCACACUCUUAGAUUGAAUAAUGUUCUUUAUGUGCCUACCUUAAGUAGGAAUUUGAUUUCAGUUUCUUGUUUAGAUGAUGAUAUGUAUGAGUGCCAUUUUGGCAAGAAACAAUUUGUUUUGAUCAAAUGUAAUAAGAAUGUAGGCAUCGGUGUUAGACGAGGCCAACUAUACAUGUUAUCUCUUAAUAAUGAUUCAGUUAUGCAUGUGAGUGAUGCAAUUAAUGUUGAGAAGAAAUGGAAAGGAGUUAGUAAUUCUUUGAAAUUGUGGCAUUGUCGUUUGGGCCACAUUUCGAGGGGGAGAAUGGAACGCUUAGUUAAAAAUGAAAUUCUCCUUCCAUUAGACUUCUCAGAUGCAGACAAAUGUGUCGACUGCAUUAAAGGAAAAUUCGCAAAAACAAUUAAGAAAUGAGCAGUAAGAGCCACAGGGGUUUUAGAAUUAAUUCACACCGACAUAUGUGGACCCCUUAAUGUUAAGUCUGUAGAUGGUUUUGAUUCAUUCAUUACAUUCACAGACGAUUUUUCCCGCUAUGGAUAUAUUUAUCCCAUACGUGACCGAUCGGAAGCUUUGGAUAAAUUCAAAGUCUAUAAAGCGGAGGUUGAAAAUCAACUGAACGCAAAAAUCAAAGUUGUACGGUCUGAUCGCGGGGGAGAGUAUUAUGGUAGGCAUGCUCCUUAUGGGCAGAUUCCUGGACCUUUUGCCAAGUUCUUAUCUGCAAAUGGAAUCAUUGCUCAGUACUCAAUGCCUGGUGAACCACAACAAAAUGGUGUGGCCGAGCGCCGCAACCGCACCCUUAUGGAUAUGGUGCGAAGCAUGCUUAGUCAAGCAUGCUUAGUCACUCUAGUUUACCAGUAAGCCUUUGGAUAGAGGCAUUAAAGACAUCUGCACAUAUACUAAAUCUUGCUCCAACUAAGUCAGCACCGAACACACCUUACGAGAUGUGGGCGGGAAAGAAACCGAGCUUGAAUUACUUACGGGUGUGGGGUUGCCCUGCUGAAGCUAAAGUUUUCAAUCCACAACUUAAGAAACUGGAUCCAAAAACAGUUAGCUGUUUCUUCGUUGGAUACCCUCAUAGGGGAAAGGGAUAUCGUUUUUAUUGUCCAAGACACACCACCAAGUUUGUGGAGACUAGACAAGCGGUAUUUUUUGAGGACAAUGAGGUCACAAAUUUAAGGGAGAUCAAUCUUGAGGAGAAGCGGGUUUGUGUACCAUCCCCGACUAUCCAAGAGAUUGUUUUUCCAAUACGAAGAAAUGUGACAUCUGAUGAUCCUGAAUCUCACGGUUCAGUCUCUCAGUCAAAUGGUGAUCCAGAAACUAAUAAUGAGAAUCCAAACACAAAUGAGGAUCUCCGAGAAAAUAAUGAAAAUGAUGAUGUUCCACCACCACCUCCGCCCAUGGGUAGACCACGGCGUGAGAGGAAGAAAGCCAUAUCAGAUGAUUAUAUCACUUUUUUGAUGGAGGACAUGAAUGAUAUGGGAAAGGUGGAGGAUCCAACCUCAUAUAAGGAAGCCAUUAAAAGCGAAAAUUCGUCCAAAUGGUUGGUUGCCAUGGAAGACGAGUUGAAAUCUAUGGGCUCAAACGACGUAUGGGACUUAGUAGAAGUUCCCGAUGGAGCUAAGAAAGUAGGCUGCAAGAGGGUCUACAAAACCAAGUAUGAUUCCAAAGGGAAUGUCGAACGGUUCAAGGCAAGGCUAGUGGCAAAAGGGUAUACACAGAGAGAAGGCAUUGAUUAUAAGCAAACCUUCUCCCCUGUGUCAACCAAGGAUUCUUUCAGAAUCAUAAUGGCAUUAGUAGCUCAUUACGACCUAGAACUACACCAAAUGGAUGUUAAAACGGCAUUUCUAAAUGGUGACUUAAAAGAAGAUGUUUACAUGGCUCAGCCAGAAGGCUUUGUUGUGGAAGGAAAGGAACAUUUAGCAUGUCGUCUAAAGAAAUCAAUUUAUGGCUUGAAGCAAGCUUCAAGAGAGUGGUACCUCAAGUUUGAUAAAAUUAUCAAAACUUUUGGUUUCACCGAAAAUGUUGUGGACAACUGCAUAUACGUUAAGUUUAAAGGCAGUAGGUUCACAUUUUUAGUCCUAUACGUUGAUGACAUAUUAUUGGCAUGUAGCGAUAAGGAUAUGCUACAUGAGACCAAGAAUUUUCUGUCAUCCAGUUUUUAUAUGAAAGAUCUUGGUGAAGCCUCGUAUGUCCUCGGCAUCGAGAUUCAUCGAGAUAGGUCCAGAGGAACGUUAGGACUAUCUCAAAAGGCAUACUUUGAGAGAGUACUGAAAAAAAUUCAAUAUGUAUAAGUGCUCACCCUCACCUGCUCCUAUAGUUAAGGGCGAUAAGUUUGGGACAUUUCAAUGUCCGAGGAACCAAUGCGAAACUGAUCAGAUGAAGUCGGUUCCUUAUGCUUCAGCUGUUGGAAGCAUCAUGUAUGCUCAAGUAUGUACACGCCCAGACUUAUGUUUUGUAACCGGGGUGCUUGGCAGAUACCAAUCCAAUCCAGGACCGGACCACUGGAAGGCCGCAAAGAAAGUCUUGCGUUAUAUGCAAGGAACUAAGGAUUUCAUGCUUACAUAUAAAAAAACUGAUAACCUCGAAAUUGUUGGUUAUUCAGACUCUGAUUUUGCCGGGUGCGUGGAUAGUAUGAGAUCCACGCCAGGUUAUAUAUUCACACUCGCGGGAGGAGCUAUAUCGUGGAAAAGCUCCAAACAAACGUUAACUGCUGGAUCUACGAUGCAGGCAGAAUUUGUAGCAUGUUAUGAGGCCACCGGGCAGGCUGUAUGGCUAAAGAAUUUUAUACCCGGACUUAAAGUGGUUGACAGCAUAUCUAAACCAAUUUUAUUGUACUGCGAUAAUGAACCAGCAGUUUUCUAUACGAGUAACAACAGGUCAAGUAAUGCUGCCAGACACAUUGACAUAAAGUAUCGUGUUGUGAAAGAUAGAAUUCAGGAUCAAACAGUUGAUGUUAAACAUAUAAGAACGAAGCAUAUGAUUGCGGAUCCGCUAACAAAAGGCUUACCACCCAGUAUUUUUCGUGAGCAUGUUGCCGGCAUGGGACUACUGGAGGCCUGAUGAUUCUGGAAUAAGAGGACCAUUAAAAUAAACCACUCCCCAAUUAGCAAAAUGUUUUCCAUUUCGAAAUAGGCGGGUGUACUAUACUGUGGCGUUUCAAGCUGUUGUAACACCUCACUUUGGUACAUCAUUCCUAUGUAGAAUGGGCGAAUGAAGUUAAGCCUAACGAUCAAGGGGGAGAAUGUUGGUUUUGAUCUGACGGCUUAAACAGGCCAGUUAGAUCUAUUAGUUUAACAGAAAAAAAAGAGAAAGAUAACGUUAAUGAAAAGGCCCCACGCACCAACGUACGUGAGGUUUUUAUCCCAACUAAGGCGCCCUGAUCGGGGGCACCCAAACCAACUGAUGGUUUAGGUCCCCUGUCGCCAGCGCUACAUAAAAGGGAACGAGAGAGGGUUGGCAGCCUGCGUGAUCACAAUUCUCGUACGGUUUCACUCCCCUCCCGAUAUUCUCUCACCCCAUCCGAUCAGGGGGAGCGCUGCAGCGACGGGAAGACCUACUCCAGCCGCCGCUCCCGUCCCCGGGCAGUGCCGGUGGCGUCCUGAGGGCAUCAGGACGUUGAGGAGGACUUCUACCUCGACUACAUCACCUCUGCAUCAAGCCUGCACCAAGCAGGCGAUCAUGUCCACUGCCGUGACACGUAAUGAUCCCCUAAACCCUUCUCUGUUCAUGUUUUAGGUGAUCUAGAUGCAAUCUGUUCCUGCUAAUGGCAUUCCAGAGAUGCAUAAUUAUUCCAACAACCCCAAGUUUUAUAUCCGAAGCAAGUUUUCAAGAAACUGCUCAAGUUUUAGCAAAAACUGCCCUACAAGGUCGUAUUGAUUGGUUGAAAGGCUUGAAAGAAACGUGGUUCCAGGGGAUUAUACCUGUUGGUACCGGAUUUUAAAAAAUUAUGCACCGUUCCGCACAAGACAAGAACCUUUAUUUCGUAACAAUUAUAAGGUGGUAAGGAAACGGAUUCCCGGAGGAUCAGAGUGGUCAUGAUCAGUUUGUUAAGUAGGAACAAGUGGUCACAACCACCACACUCAAAUCUCCAGCUUUCAACGUGUCAAUGCGCACGAAGAAGCCCACACCGCCAUUGAUACGCCCAGUUGACUUCUAUCGGAGCCGAGAGCAACAGCAAACCAGAUCGAAAACUGAUCAAUCUUGAGCUCGCCAUUGCCGCAGCUCCCACGUGCUCCGAAGGUCUCACUUGACAGUGGCACCGGUGGGGUUGUUGUACCCGUCCGUGCCAGUGCCACAUACAGAGACCGAACUGACCGCUCCAUAUGCUCUCACCGUCUCAAGCUUAAUUGCUGGUCGUGUAGGGUGCCCAUGCGCUCGAGAUAUGUGGCUGAUUUGGUGCGAGCUUUUUGCUCGGGUCUUUGUUGCCGCUGCUGCUACUUUCCUGUCAGGAAUGCGAGGAAUAGAGCUCCUUUCUGAUGCUGGAGAGGGAUGGAUGCGUGCGGCCUGUCGGCCGUUAUUGUUGCUGGAUUGUUCAGUGUUUGGUUGAGAGAAGAAUCGGAGAAACGACUCUACAGUGAUAUGGUUUGCUGCUGUUGCUGCUAAUCGUACUAAACCAGCAUUCGAUCAGUCAUUGGUGAAUUGGAUGAGGCUGUCAAGUUUAUCAUCUUGAUACGUCUGACAAAUAAACUUGUUUGUCAACUCGGGUGACGAGCUAGCAUCACUAUAUCAGCGUCUGACAAAAUAAACAUGCAGUUAUAUGCGUUAAUCAGAAGGCUCUGCGGACUCGUAUUGUCGGCAGCUCAGCAGCAUACGCAGCAACUUUUCGCCUUUUCUGGACAUAAAUCAUCACCUUCUCCAUAAACUUGAAACUGACAUCAAACGGCAGCGAAUUUGUGGUCAAGUAGACCAGACACCCCGACAUAGACUUUGAAUUUCUGCCUUGCGCCAACCUUCCAUUCAUUAGAGGAAUUAGACAGGACUGACCGACACCUCCAAUUGGCAGGAGAGAAGGCAUGGCAUUCUGACCCCAUGAACAAAGACGUCGAACAACACACAACAAGUGGACAAAAGCAUCUCGAGGAUAGAUGUAGUACUACGAGGUGGAUAUUACAGAUUUACAGGGAGCAUCCUAGGUAUUGAACUAAAACCACGACGAGUAAAUCGGAACGGAGGGAGUACGUAAUAUGAACAUAGGAUGGCUGCAUUCCCCUAACUACGGGCUACUCGAGAAGACACAAAACAAAGCCCGUAUAUCUACAAAAGACUGACUGAUUGGGGAGGUACAAAGGGUCACAGAAAGGUCAAAAUAUAACUAACACCACGAGCCAUGGAAACUUGGAAAGUAGGGGUCCUCCUUGUUCUCAUACUACUGUAUAUCCCAAACAACCACGGGGAGCGCGUCUCCAUAUCAUGAAUAGUCUUCUUAAGCGGUCCAAAAGCAUCAUCAUCCAGAAGAAAGCCCUGCCAUGCACUAACCCUAAACAAGAAAACAAAUUGCUGC